CAAAUCCGGACUUCCUUAACACAGAGAGAUGAUGACGAGGCUCUACGGAGCUGAAGUAACUGAUACCACACUUCCAGGAAAAGCCACUAAGCGAAAGGCUUUACUAAACCGUACUGAAAACCGACACAGGUGGUCAGGUAGAGAAUACUCAGGCGCUUGAGAGAACUCGGGUGAAGGAACUAGGCAAAAUAGCACCGUAACUUCGGGAGAAGGUGCGCCGGCGUAGAUUGUAGUCCCUAGCGGGCGAAGGUUGAACCGGUCGAAGAUACCAGCUGGCUGCAACUGUUUAUUAAAAACACAGCACUCUGCAAACACGAAAGUGGACGUAUAGGGUGUGAUGCCUGCCCGGUGCUGGAAGGUUAAUUGAUGGUGUCAUCGAAAGAGAAGCACCUGAUCGAAGCCCCAGUAAACGGCGGCCGUAACUAUAACGGUCCUAAGGUAGCGAAAUUCCUUGUCGGGUAAGUUCCGACCUGCACGAAUGGCAUAAUGAUGGCCAGGCUGUCUCCACCCGAGACUCAGUGAAAUUGAAAUCGCCGUGAAGAUGCGGUGUACCCGCGGCUAGACGGAAAGACCCCGUGAACCUUUACUAUAGCUUGACACUGAACAUUGAAUUUUGAUGUGUAGGAUAGGUGGGAGACUUAGAAGUAGGAACGCCAGUUUCUAUGGAGUCAUCCUUGAAAUACCACCCUUUAACGUUUGAUGUUCUAACGAAGACUACGGAACGUGGUCUCGGACAGUGUCUGGUGGGUAGUUUGACUGGGGCGGUCUCCUCCCAAAGCGUAACGGAGGAGCACGAAGGUUUGCUAAUCACGGUCGGACAUCGUGAGGUUAGUGCAAUGGUAUAAGCAAGCUUAACUGCGAGACAGACAAGUCGAGCAGGUACGAAAGUAGGUCAUAGUGAUCCGGUGGUUCUGAAUGGAAGGGCCAUCGCUCAACGGAUAAAAGGUACUCCGGGGAUAACAGGCUGAUACCGCCCAAGAGUUCAUAUCGACGGCGGUGUUUGGCACCUCGAUGUCGGCUCAUCACAUCCUGGGGCUGAAGUAGGUCCCAAGGGUAUGGCUGUUCGCCAUUUAAAGUGGUACGCGAGCUGGGUUUAGAACGUCGUGAGACAGUUCGGUCCCUAUCUGCCGUGGGCGUUGGAUGAUUGAUUGGGGCUGCUCCUAGUACGAGAGGACCGGAGUGGACGCAUCACUGGUGUUCCGGUUGUGUCGCCAGACGCAUUGCCGGGUAGCUAAAUGCGGAAGAGAUAAGUGCUGAAAGCAUCUAAGCACGAAACUUGCCAAGAGAUGAGUCAUCCCUGACUUUAAGUCAGUAAGGGUUGUUGUAGACUACGACGUAGAUAGGUC
Molecule: ribosomal RNA, 1346 nt
Filed under: Haemophilus influenzae
Lineage: Bacteria; Pseudomonadati; Pseudomonadota; Gammaproteobacteria; Pasteurellales; Pasteurellaceae
Description: partial 23S ribosomal RNA
Rfam family: Bacterial large subunit ribosomal RNA
Source: RNAcentral